RNAcentral lists this ribosomal RNA (430 nucleotides) under Bacillota bacterium. RNAcentral describes it as "Firmicutes bacterium partial 16S ribosomal RNA". It matches the Rfam family "Bacterial small subunit ribosomal RNA", at positions 355 to 776 of the family's 1533-position model. Lineage: Bacteria; Bacillati; Bacillota. The record is from RNAcentral.
UGGGGAAUAUUGGACAAUGGGGGGAACCCUGAUCCAGCCAUGCCGCGCGUGUGAAGAAGGCCUUAUGGUUGUAAAGCACUUUAAGCGAGGAGGAGGCUCUUCUAGUUAAUACCUAGGAUGAGUGGACGUUACUCGCAGAAUAAGCACCGGCUAACUCUGUGCCAGCAGCCGCGGUAAUACAGAGGGUGCGAGCGUUAAUCGGAUUUACUGGGCGUAAAGCGUGCGUAGGCGGCUUUUUAAGUCGGAUGUGAAAUCCCCGAGCUUAACUUGGGAAUUGCAUUCGAUACUGGGAAGCUAGAGUAUGGGAGAGGAUGGUAGAAUUCCAGGUGUAGCGGUGAAAUGCGUAGAGAUCUGGAGGAAUACCGAUGGCGAAGGCAGCCAUCUGGCCUAAUACUGACGCUGAGGUACGAAAGCAUGGGGAGCAAACAGG